Molecule: ribosomal RNA, 497 nt
Filed under: uncultured bacterium
Lineage: Bacteria
Description: partial 16S ribosomal RNA
Rfam family: Bacterial small subunit ribosomal RNA
Source: RNAcentral
GAUGAACGCUGGCGGCGUGCCUAAUACAUGCAAGUCGAGCGAACGUACGAGAAACUUGCUUCUCUGAUGUUAGCGGCGGACGGGUGAGUAACACGUGGAUACCCUACCUAUAAGACUGGGAUAACUUCGGGAAACCAGCGCUAAUACCGCAUAAUAUUUUCAACCGCAUGGUUCAAAAGUGAACGACGGUCUUGCUGUCACUUAUAGAUGGAUCCGCGCUGCAUUAGCUAGUUGGUAAGGUAACGGCUUACCAAGGCAACGAUGCAUAGCAGACCUGAGAGGGUGAUCGGCCACACUGGAACUGAGACACGGUCCAGACUCCUACGGGAGGCAGCAGUAGGGAAUCGGCCGCAAUGGGCGAAAGCCUGACGGAGCAACGCCGCGUGAGUGAUGAAGGUCUUCGGAUCGUAAAACUCUGUUAUUAGGGAAGAACAUAUGUGUAAGUAACUGUGCACAUCUUGACGGUACCUAAUCAGAAAGCCACGGCUAACUACGUG